UCAAGAUGAGUUGCCCUGCUUUGAAUGCC
RNAcentral lists this non-coding RNA (29 nucleotides) under Homo sapiens (human). Lineage: Eukaryota; Metazoa; Chordata; Mammalia; Primates; Hominidae. The record is from RNAcentral.